RNA transcript from Coccinella septempunctata (seven-spotted ladybird), 4964 nucleotides. It is a transcript of the gene named regulator of G-protein signaling 7, with no coding region annotated. Lineage: Eukaryota; Metazoa; Arthropoda; Insecta; Coleoptera; Coccinellidae. The record is from RefSeq and is a predicted model, not a curated record. The transcript is spliced from 10 exons.
CUUUUUCCUUUUCGUUGAUAUUAUUAUUGACGAGAAAAAUGAAUUCAUGUGCUGGAUUUCUAUGCCCAGCGUUGUUUCUUCUGCUCCUUGGGUGGCAAGUAGGCCAUUGAUUUCGUUCAACCAAUGAAAGUAAUUAAAUCCAAUAGAUAAAUAAAAGACGUUCGUGAACUCCGACCUGUGAUGGACGGUGCUCGUUAAGAGAUGAUAAUGAAAUGAUUGUUUAUAACAGUAAUUAACUCAUCUACCUGGGUGAUAUCGAUAAAGUAUCCGUGUUGUGGUCUAUUUAACGGCGUUUUGUUGAGAAGAUGUACUCUGUGACAAUGUACCAUAAUUCCCAUUCAUUCCCUAUCAAUUAAAAAUGCAGGAACUGUCUUUCGGUCUUAAAUGGUUGUAUCCUUGUAAUAAUCAAGUGAGGAUGGAUUCCCUUUAAGACCAGUGAUAUGGUCACUAUGAAUUCUGAGAAAGCCGCUGCCAAGCGCAAACCUGAAUCAAAUAAUGGAUCAUGUAUGGGAACAAGUGUUGAUGAUGAAGCAGUUCAUCAUCCGUCAACUACAGAUGAUUCUCCUAACUUACUCCUAUACCGAAAAAUGGAAAAAAUCGUGGAAAAAAUGCAGGAUGAAAAUACUGGUGUUCCCGUAAAAACUGUCAAAAGUUUCAUGUCGAAGAUUCCAUCAGUAUUUACAGGUUCCGAUCUCAUUAUGUGGAUGAUGAAAAAUUUAGAUGUUGAAGAUCAACAAGAGGCCUUGCAUCUAGCACAUCUUAUGGCAGCGCAUGGUUAUUUCUUUCCUAUUGAUGAUCAUAUGUUGACGGUUAAGAACGACAACACAUUCUAUAGAUUUCAAACGCCAUAUUUUUGGCCUUCAAAUUGUUGGGAACCGGAAAAUACAGACUAUGCUGUGUAUCUUUGUAAGAGAACUAUGCAAAAUAAGACUCGUUUAGAAUUAGCGGACUAUGAGGCUGAAAAUUUAGCUAGAUUACAGAAAAUGUUUUCAAGAAAGUGGGAAUUCAUAUUUAUGCAAGCUGAAGCGCAGAGUAAAGUCGAUAAAAAAAGGGAUAAACUGGAAAGGAAAGUUUUGGACAGCCAGGAGAGAGCUUUUUGGGAUGUUCAUAGGCCUAUGCCCGGCUGUGUGAACACAACUGAAAUCGAUAUAAAAAAAGCGUGCCAAAUGAACAAACCAAUUCAUGGAAUUAAAAACAUGACAGUAGAUUCUCGUAAAAUGUCACCAUCUACUUCAGGCGUUGAAAACUUGGCAUCUGUAGAUAUUCUUAAGAAACAAGUUGAACUACUCAGGACCAGAUUGGACAGGCGAAAUAUUAAGGUCUCUAAAGCAGCUGAAUCGUUGAUAGCUUAUUACGAACAAUACCUGGAGUAUGACUGCUUUUUUGUUGCCCCCGAGUAUCAAAACCCAUGGAUAAGUGAUAAUCCAGAGCUCUGGGAGCAGGAAAAGGUGGCCAAAGACAUAUCAGCUCGGCGGGUGAAACGUUGGGCUUUCAGUUUGAAAGAGCUCUUGCAAGACCCUAUAGGCCGUGAACAUUUUAUAAAAUUUCUCGAUAAGGAAUUCAGCAGUGAAAAUUUGAAAUUUUGGGAGGCUGUCCAGGAAUUGAAGUCAUUGCCACAAAGUGAAGUUCAAAAUAAAGUAACAGAAAUAUGGGCCGAGUUUUUGGCACCUGAUGCAAGUUGUCCCAUCAAUGUGGACUGCCAAUCGUAUGAGGUGACAAAAAAGAAUAUGGAAAGCUUGGACCGCUGGAGCUUCGACUGUUCUGCUGCCCAUGUUUAUCAUUUGAUGAAAAGUGACAGUUACUCUAGAUACCUUCGUUCAGAGAUGUACAAGGACUUCUUGAAUGGCUCCAAGAAAAAACAUAACCUAGUUUCAUCUUUUCAUCCUAUUUUACCGAUCGAUUUCAAUGUGGCAUGAAUUCGGUGUUCUCCAUCAGAACCUUCAUAUACCUAUGAAUUGUUCCUCGAUUCUUGUGAAGUCUUGGGUGUGUUCAAUAACUCUGAACGAUUCUUUUGGAAUUUUGGAUGCUAAUUGGUCCACAGAAUGUCGGUCCCAGCAUGUUUGCGGACAAAUGGGUUCUGCAAUGCUUGUGGCUUCCUCAGUGACAAUGUGAGGAUUACUUUUUAGCUCAACAUGGGAUAUGCCUUAAGAACAUCUGUGAAAGGAAUUCGUUCAAUAGUGUCUUUCACAGCACGAAAAGAUAACAUCACCUAGUUGGACUGACCAGAAAUAGAAUGUAACUCUUUGUUGUAACUUAUCUGUUUGAAGGUAAGUUUGAAAUUCGACAAUACAAUAUGGAAAUGUGUCACUAUUUUAAUCUUUUCUGUUUUUUCAAUUUUCAACAUCUAUAGUGGCUUUUUUUUCCCUCGUGAAAUACGUAAUGAUGUGUUCAUAAACUAGCCGAUUUAAAAUUUCAAAUGCAAGAAAUUUUAUGUUAAAACGAGGGGAUUAAAGAUUAUGUGAUAUUAGCACAAAUUCGUGAAGUCAUAUUCACAUAAAUAUACAACUAUGUAUUUUAAUUAUAUUAUCUACAAAUUCAAGUAUUUAUUAGUCACUAUAUUUAUUGAGAUUGGAAUCUUACAUCAUCAAAUCAUUUCUAAAAGUGAUUUUUAUACUUUAUGCUGGAGUAGUAUGUUUAUUUUAUGCUUUUAUUAUGAUGGGAAAAUGCGGUAAAAAAUAUUAAUAUCACCAGUUUUUUUUUUAAGAGGCAUUCAUCCAUUUUUGCCUCUUAUGAAUUAUUUAAUUUAUUCACCAGUGAGUCAUGAAAAAUGAGGAGGCUAUGAUCAUAGUGUAUAUUUUUGGACUGAAGUGAUAUUGUUUGAAAGCUUUAAAAUAAUUUUAUUCGCCAAAUAAAAUUGAGGGGAUAAUUAUCUUCCAGAAUAAUGUUGGCUUCAUUGUAGAAGUACAAAUUAUCCCCAGUUGUUUUAGAUUGCCUUAUUCGAUAAUUUUUUUACUUCUUCACCUGAUUAUGAUAUAUUUUCUUGAUUAGUCAUUUGUUAUUGAGAGGGUACAAACAUCAAGGUUUUUAAACAGUUUCAGUGAAUUUUCGUAACUGCUGAUCCAUCAUGAAAAUAUAUCGUAAUUCAUUAAUUUUGGAAUUGAAUACUGCCAUAGUAUAUUUGAACUGUUAAGGCGUCAGUAUCAGAAUAUAAUGCAAUUUUUUCAUCAAUUUUUUAAAUUGAGCCUAUUUUCUUAGGGUGAACUCUGAUUCCGUAAUCGGCUAAUUCAGAAAUAUUAUGUGGAAGUGACAUAAUUUACCGUAAAAAAAUUAUAUUGAUGAGGAAAUUGCCACUUUUUAUGUUCUGAUACUUUGAUAAUGUUAAAGUACCGAUAUAUUAAAUUAAACAACUCAAGUCUUUCACUUAGGAUACAUUUAUAAAUUCUUUAUUAUUCGUUUUAUAGAAAUGUAGCGUAUUGGUACGAAAUGGAUCAUUGUUAAAUUCCUGUAUAUCGUAUAGUUAUCAAAUAGUAUGAAACAUAUGUGUUAUGUAUCGUGAAAAAUAUUGAAUAUUAUAUCACACAAAAAAGCUCACAAUUUAUGAUGAGACAUCAUUUAAGAAAUCACAGUGAAAGAAUAAAGUUAAACUAACUAAAAUUCUUUCAUCAUAUUAAAGUGAAUCAAAAAAACGCAUAAUACAGUGAAAAAUUCGCCUUUAUCCUAUUUAUUAUUCAUUGUAAAUUUCCUCUUUUAUAGAAUCAAAGUUCCUUGUUUUUUUAUCUAGGUAUACAGUAUUAAUAUUUAUUUUGGAAUAUAGUUUUCAUAGGUUUUUCACUACAAUAUUUGCUCUUAUAUGUUUCAAUGCUUUUUUAAAAUGCGGGUCUCAUAUGAAUAGUUAGGUUAAACGCAAAAUAGGCUUUUAUAAAAUGGGAUAAAAGUUAGUGAGAAUUCUUACUAUACCAUUUCCAAUUAUUAUUAAAUUUGUUGAUAUUUGAAAUUAGGAGCAAUAAUUCAAAUACUCUAAUGUGAAAUGAAAUUCCCAGCCUUAAUAGAUUCUUCGCGUUUAUUUGUUUGAUUAUUAUACUACAUAUUUGUAUGUGAUAGUAUUUUCAGUUAAUAUGUGUAGUACGCUAAUCAAAUACGUGAAACUAUAAAUUUAUAAAUUGAUUUUUGAUUUGCGUACCAAAUUUUGAUAAGUUGCUGUAUGGACCAUGACAUUUUUUUGGAACAACAGGAAACAUAUCUUUCUUUGGCAAUUUUGUCAAAAACUUGGUCUGUUCAAUUAAUAAUGAAACAUAUCAGUUGAUGAAGACGAGAUAACUGACUGAGAAGAGAAAAAGAUUUGAUAAAUAAAAAAAAAAUGGUUGGAGAUGAUGAUGUAAUAGAAUUGAUCUAUGCUUUAAGUAUAAGUAGGUGAUGAAGGUGUAAAACUCUGCUAUAAAAAGGAAUUGGAACUGUUUAUACAGCUAACAAAUAUUUCUCAUAAUAGCAUAAACCAGCACAUCAGUUUGAAAUAUCGCGCAGCAAUCAACUGUAAGUUGGAUGCUUUACGUAUACCACAUGAGGAUUUAUCAUACUCGAAUGUUCAAAAUAUUAUUUUUCAUUUCAUUACUUCAUGUAAAAGCUUUAAUAUAGCUUGUGUAAAACAAUGUGACUGAUGAGACAACAAUAAUCCAUAAGUUAAUACUUUAUGUGCUUUCAAGUGUUAAUGAUAGAUUUUCUUUUCAAAAUUUAAUGACUUUAGGUUUCUGAAUUUGUACAUAUUCGGACAUUGAAGAUGGUUAACAUUAGUACACUGCAAUUGCGACUAGUUGAAACCAAAAUCGACAAAUGGUACACCUAUACAUAUUAAACAUCUUUUUAAUUGCGAAUGUUGAAGUAAAUUAUUAGCAUGUUGAAUAAUGCUGACAUCGCUUAGUAAUUAUGUUAUGGAAUUGAUUGAUAUUGAUAUUUCCCAGUAGAUUUUGUCUAUUUUAGAACGUUAUUCAAUACCAACUCCUAAUUAAAAUAAAGUAAUACAUGUGGAA